GACGCUGGCGGCAGGCCUAACACAUGCAAGUCGAGCGGUAACAGAAAGUAGCUUGCUACUUUGCUGACGAGCGGCGGACGGGUGAGUAAUGCUUGGGAACAUGCCUUGAGGUGGGGGACAACAGUUGGAAACGACUGCUAAUACCGCAUAAUGUCUACGGACCAAAGGGGGCUUCGGCUCUCGCCUUUAGAUUGGCCCAAGUGGGAUUAGCUAGUUGGUGAGGUAAUGGCUCACCAAGGCGACGAUCCCUAGCUGGUUUGAGAGGAUGAUCAGCCACACUGGGACUGAGACACGGCCCAGACUCCUACGGGAGGCAGCAGUGGGGAAUAUUGCACAAUGGGCGCAAGCCUGAUGCAGCCAUGCCGCGUGUGUGAAGAAGGCCUUCGGGUUGUAAAGCACUUUCAGUCAGGAGGAAAGGUUAGUAGUUAAUACCUGCUAGCUGUGACGUUACUGACAGAAGAAGCACCGGCUAACUCCGUGCCAGCAGCCGCGGUAAUACGGAGGGUGCGAGCGUUAAUCGGAAUUACUGGGCGUAAAGCGUACGCAGGCGGUUUGUUAAGCGAGAUGUGAAAGCCCCGGGCUCAACCUGGGAACUGCAUUUCGAACUGGCAAACUAGAGUGUGAUAGAGGGUGGUAGAAUUUCAGGUGUAGCGGUGAAAUGCGUAGAGAUCUGAAGGAAUACCGAUGGCGAAGGCAGCCACCUGGGUCAACACUGACGCUCAUGUACGAAAGCGUGGGGAGCAAACGGGAUUAGAUACCCCGGUAGUCCACGCCGUAAA
This 779-nucleotide ribosomal RNA is filed under the name Pseudoalteromonas sp. AD-E2. RNAcentral's name for it is "bacterial SSU rRNA". It matches the Rfam family "Bacterial small subunit ribosomal RNA", at positions 32 to 806 of the family's 1533-position model. Lineage: Bacteria; Pseudomonadati; Pseudomonadota; Gammaproteobacteria; Alteromonadales; Pseudoalteromonadaceae. The record is from RNAcentral.